UACGGAGGGUGCGAGCGUUGUCCGGAAUCAUUGGGCGUAAAGGGCGCGUAGGUGGCCCAGUAAGCGUGCGGUGAAAGCCCGGGGCUCAACCCCGGGUCGGCCGUGCGAACUGUCGAGCUGGAGCACUGUAGAGGCAGGUGGAAUUCCGGGUGUAGCGGUGGAAUGCGUAGAGAUCCGGAAGGACACCGGUGGCGAAGGCGGCCUGCUGGGCAGUGGCUGACGCUGAGGCGCGACAGCGUGGGGAGCAAACAGG
RNAcentral lists this ribosomal RNA (253 nucleotides) under uncultured bacterium. RNAcentral's name for it is "partial 16S ribosomal RNA". It matches the Rfam family "Bacterial small subunit ribosomal RNA", at positions 524 to 776 of the family's 1533-position model. The record is from RNAcentral.